This 482-nucleotide ribosomal RNA is filed under the name uncultured bacterium. Its description in RNAcentral is "partial 16S ribosomal RNA". It matches the Rfam family "Bacterial small subunit ribosomal RNA", at positions 28 to 507 of the family's 1533-position model. The record is from RNAcentral.
GACGAACGCUGGCGGCGUGCCUAACACGUGCAAGUCGAGCGGGGAUUUAAGUGGAAGUUCUUCGGAAUGGAGAUUUAAAUUCUAGCGGCGGACGGGUGAGUAACGCGUGAACAAUCUGUCCCGGACAGGGGGAUAACACUUGGAAACAGGUGCUAAUACCGCAUAAGACCACGGCCUCGCAUGGGGCUGAGGUAAAAGGAGCAAUCCGGUUCGGGGUGAGUUCGCGUCCGAUUAGCUAGUUGGUGAGGUAACGGCCACCAAGGCGACGAUCGGUAGCCGGCCUGAGAGGGUGAACGGCCACAUUGGAACUGAGAGACGGUCCAAACUCCUACGGGAGGCAGCAGUGGGGAAUAUUGGGCAAUGGGCGAAAGCCUGACCCAGCAACGCCGCGUGAGGGAAGAAGGUUUUCGGAUUGUAAACCUCUGUCCUAUGGGACGAAGGAAGUGACGGUACCAUAGGAGGAAGCCCCGGCUAACUACGUG